RNAcentral lists this small nuclear RNA (58 nucleotides) under Myripristis murdjan (pinecone soldierfish). RNAcentral describes it as "U7 small nuclear RNA (ENSMMDG00005012115.1)". It matches the Rfam family "U7 small nuclear RNA". Rfam says of the family: Animal histone pre-mRNAs are spliced by a different mechanism than nuclear pre-mRNAs and self-splicing introns. This processing involves the U7 snRNP, which contains only one RNA species: U7. Lineage: Eukaryota; Metazoa; Chordata; Actinopteri; Holocentriformes; Holocentridae. The record is from Rfam by way of RNAcentral.
AAGGAUUUCGCUCUUUUGAAAUUUCUCCAGCAGGCUUCUAGUAUAAAUAGAAGCCCAC